AGUGAACGCUGGCGGCGUGCUUAACACAUGCAAGUCGAGCGAGAACGGGUUAUAGCUUGCUAUAAUUGUCAGCUAAGUGGCGCACGGGUGAGUAAUGUAUAGGUAAUAUGCCUCUUACUAAGGGAUAACAACUGGAAACGUUUGCUAAUACCUUAUACUCCUUAUUAACAGAAGUUAAUAAGGGAAAGAUUUAUUGGUAAGAGAUUAGCCUGUAUUGUAUCAGUUAGUUGGUGGGGUAAUGGCUUACCAAGACUAUGACACAUAACUGGUUUGAGAGGAUGAUCAGUCACACUGGAACUGAGACACGGUCCAGACUCCUACGGGAGGCAGCAGUGGGGAAUAUUGCACAAUGGACGAAAGUCUGAUGCAGCAACGCCGCGUGGAGGAUGACACAUUUCGGUGCGUAAACUCCUUUUAUAUGAGAAGAUAAUGACGGUAUUAUAUGAAUAAGCACCGGCUAACUCCGUGCCAGCAGCCGCCGUAA
RNAcentral lists this ribosomal RNA (484 nucleotides) under uncultured bacterium. RNAcentral describes it as "partial 16S ribosomal RNA". It matches the Rfam family "Bacterial small subunit ribosomal RNA", at positions 29 to 523 of the family's 1533-position model. The record is from RNAcentral.